GUAAGCUAUUAAGAGCGAAU
RNAcentral lists this ribosomal RNA (20 nucleotides) under Sulfurospirillum sp. enrichment culture SL2 clone SL2-ITS1. RNAcentral's name for it is "partial 23S ribosomal RNA". Lineage: Bacteria; Pseudomonadati; Campylobacterota; Epsilonproteobacteria; Campylobacterales; Sulfurospirillaceae. RNAcentral also lists the same sequence under 1 other name. The record is from RNAcentral.